UUUAUGGAGAGUUUGAUCCUGGCUCAGGAUGAACGCUGGCGGCGUGCCUAAUACAUGCAAGUCGAGCGAACGGACGAGAAGCUUGCUUCUCUGAUGUUAGCGGCGGACGGGUGAGUAACACGUGGAUAACCUACCUAUAAGACUGGGAUAACUUCGGGAAACCGGAGCUAAUACCGGAUAAUAUUUUGAACCGCAUGGUUCAAAAGUGAAAGACGGUCUUGCUGUCACUUAUAGAUGGAUCCGCGCUGCAUUAGCUAGUUGGUAAGGUAACGGCUUACCAAGGCAACGAUGCAUAGCCGACCUGAGAGGGUGAUCGGCCACACUGGAACUGAGACACGGUCCAGACUCCUACGGGAGGCGACAGUAGGGAAUCUUCCGCAAUGGGCGAAAGCCUGACGGAGCAACGCCGCGUGAGUGAUGAAGGUCUUCGGAUCGUAAAACUCUGUUAUUAGGGAAGAACAUAUGUGUAAGUAACUGUGCACAUCUUGACGGUACCUAAUCAGAAAGCCACGGCUAACUACGUGCCAGCGUGCGCGGUAAUACGUAGGUGGCAAGCGUUAUCCGGAAUUAUUGGGCGUAAAGCGCGCGUAGGCGGUUUUUUAAGUCUGAUGUGAAAGCCCACGGCUCAACCGUGGAGGGUCAUUGGAAACUGGAAAACUUGAGUGCAGAAGAGGAAAGUGGAAUUCCAUGUGUAGCGGUGAAAUGCGCAGAGAUAUGGAGGAACACCAGUGGCGAAGGCGACUUUCUGGUCUGUAACUGACGCUGAUGUGCGAAAGCGUGGGGAUCAAACAGGAUUAGAUACCCUGGUAGUCCACGCCGUAAACGAUGAGUGCUAAGUGUUAGGGGGUUUCCGCCCCUUAGUGUUUGCGACUAACGCAUUAAGCACUCCGCCUGGGGAGUACGACCGCAAGGUUGAAACUCAAAGGAAUUGACGGGGACCCGCACAAGCGGUGGAGCAUGUGGUUUAAUUCGAAGCAACGCGAAGAACCUUACCAAAUCUUGACAUCCUUUGACAACUCUAGAGAUAGAGCCUUCCCCUUCGGGGGACAAAGUGACAGGUGGUGCAUGGUUGUCGUCAGCUCGUGUCGUGAGAUGUUGGGUUAAGUCCCGCAACGAGCGCAACCCUUAAGCUUAGUUGCCAUCAUUAAGUUGGGCACUCUAAGUUGACUGCCGGUGACAAACCGGAGGAAGGUGGGGAUGACGUCAAAUCAUCAUGCCCCUUAUGAUUUGGGCUACACACGUGCUACAAUGGACAAUACAAAGGGCAGCGAAACCGCGAGGUCAAGCAAAUCCCAUAAAGUUGUUCUCAGUUCGGAUUGUAGUCUGCAACUCGACUACAUGAAGCUGGAAUCGCUAGUAAUCGUAGAUCAGCAUGCUACGGUGAAUACGUUCCCGGGUCUUGUACACACCGCCCGUCACACCACGAGAGUUUGUAACACCCGAAGCCGGUGGAGUAACCUUUUAGGAGCUAGCCGUCGAAGGUGGGACAAAUGAUUGGGGUGAAGUCGUAACAAGGUAGCCGUAUCGGAAGGUGCGGCUGGAUCACCUCCUUU
This 1553-nucleotide ribosomal RNA is filed under the name Staphylococcus aureus. RNAcentral describes it as "16S ribosomal RNA". It matches the Rfam family "Bacterial small subunit ribosomal RNA". Lineage: Bacteria; Bacillati; Bacillota; Bacilli; Caryophanales; Staphylococcaceae. The record is from RNAcentral.